CAACAGUGGUCAACAGCCUAAUGAUCUCCGAUCAGGACAGUCAACGGAUAGUACGUCCACGACUGGCACGUUCAAUAAAACAUUAUUUGAUUGGUCCGGUACUAACUCUUUACAAUAAAGAAAUUAAUCAUUUGCUACUAUAAAUACAUUUGUCCUCGUUCUUAUAUAUGUCGAGUUAUCUCGCCUACAACAAUCUUAGUAUUUCGCAUUUAUAUUAUUUUUGUAAAAACAAGGAUUUGUAUAGUACAAAAUAUAUAUACAAAUUGUAAGAAUAAAUAAAUUAUAGUUUCUAUCAUAAAAAAAAUAUAACUGAAAUUUUAAAGGAUUAAACGCCUUUUUAAAAAGAAUUCAUUGGUGUAUAAACUCUACAAAUUCACUCACCUUGAAACGAGAAAAAAUCUUUCGGGCUUUUACAUUGUUUUAUGAUAUGAUCUGUAUGUUUGUGACUGACUAAGUCACGGGGGGGGGGGGGGGGGUAACUUCCUAUUAUUGGGUAUACGGGGAUGUGCCAAAAAUAUGGGUCAUAAUUUUGCGAGAUUUUAUAUAAAAAUGACCCUCCUUUUUUCAGUGAAUGUUAUAUUAAAAUAGGCACGUUUUUUGGGGCAAAAAUGGCACACCCUACCAAAAAAAUAUCGAAGUGACUAUAUUCAUGUCAAAGAUUAUUUGUGUAUGCAUGUAUAUUUUUUGUUCCGUUUCAGGAAAAUAAUUCUUGUUGCACUUUUUUUUUUUAUUUCUUGUCACUCCUGAAUAUAUUUGAAUCAAACUACUAUGUAUAAUAUAUUUUGAUUGUAUAAUAGUAAUAACGUUUUAUAUAUAUCUUGCAGAUUGCAGAAAGUGUGAACAAUUUCAGUAGAAAUUUUCAUAAUAUUUCCCAGUUAGUUAACUGAGAUAUGAAGAAAACUGCUGUUGUUUUAUGAUUGGAGGAAAUACCUUCAGCAAUAUUUGAAAAAAUACUGCAGCAUUUUAGAACUUAAUUAUCACCACUUCACGAUUCAUUCAGCGAAACCUGAAAAUUUUGUUGGCAAAGUCCUGUCAGACUCUGUACCUAUAACCGUCAGUUUAUUUAAAAAAAAAAACCGCUAUAAUUUCAACAUCUUCUAUGCAAAACACUUUUUAACACCAAA
This 1124-nucleotide long non-coding RNA is filed under the name Mytilus galloprovincialis (Mediterranean mussel). The record is from RNAcentral. Lineage: Eukaryota; Metazoa; Mollusca; Bivalvia; Mytilida; Mytilidae.